GCCUGGUGCGGUGGCGCACUCCUGUAAUCCCAGCGACUUGGGAGGCUGAGGCAGGAGGAUCACGGGUUUAAAGCCAGCCUCAGCAAUUUAGCGAGGCCCUAAGCAGCUUAGAAAGAUCCUGUCUCAA
This 127-nucleotide small RNA is filed under the name Marmota monax (woodchuck). The record is from RNAcentral. Lineage: Eukaryota; Metazoa; Chordata; Mammalia; Rodentia; Sciuridae.